Long non-coding RNA from Bos indicus x Bos taurus (hybrid cattle), 389 nucleotides. The record is from Ensembl. NCBI's taxonomy places the organism in Eukaryota, Metazoa, Chordata, Mammalia, Artiodactyla, Bovidae.
CAUUGAGUGGCACGUGAGAUCUUAGGUCCCAGACCAGGGAUUGAACCCAUGCCCUGUGUUGUAGAAAGGAGGAAUCUUAACCAGUGAACCACCAUUGGAGUCUCUUGAUUGAGUUGUUUUUCUGAGAAUAAAUUUGAAGAUGUUUUAUCUGCAUUUUUGCAAACUGUACAUUUCCAAGUAAAAGAUGAGACUUCCACUUCUCCAGAACUGAGAUUCUCAGCAUCAACCUCCCUGACAUUUUGGGCCAGAUAUUCGAAGUUGGGAUUUUCUCUGCUGCUGCUGCUGCUAAGUCGCUUCAGUCGUGUCCGACUCUGUGCGACCCCAUAGACCGCAGCCCACCAGGCUCCUCCCUCCCUGGGAUUCUCCAGGCAAGAACACUAGAGUGGGUU